Molecule: long non-coding RNA, 73 nt
Organism: Sander lucioperca (pikeperch)
Lineage: Eukaryota; Metazoa; Chordata; Actinopteri; Perciformes; Percidae
Exons: 3
Source: RefSeq, a predicted model, not a curated record
UGACAGUAAUAGAUGUGAAAUACAUACGAAUUACAGUGCAUUACUUAUGUAGCGAGAUGUACGAACAGCCUGA